Molecule: non-coding RNA, 335 nt
Organism: Erinaceus europaeus (western European hedgehog)
Lineage: Eukaryota; Metazoa; Chordata; Mammalia; Eulipotyphla; Erinaceidae
Source: Rfam
AGAUGUGAGGGCGAUCUGGCUGCGACAUCUGUCACCCCAUUAAUCGCCAGGGUUGAUUCAGCCGAUCUUGCUGGCUAGGCGGGUGUCCCCUUCCUCCCUCACCGCUCCAUGUGCGUCCCUCCAGAAGCUGCACGCUGGGUCAAAGAGGGCAGCCUUCCCCGAAUAGAGAUGGACCGGUCUUCAGUGGAGGGUAUAAGAGUAGCUGCGCUCCCCUGCUAGAACCUCCAAACAAGCUCUCGAGAUGAGGUGAAGAAGGUGAAUGAGAGAGAGAUUCUUUUGAACAUCUGGGUAUUUUGGAACUUAGUAGUGGAGUUGAGGGGAGCAGAGCUCUUUAG